GUCGAGGGGCAGCGCGGGUAGCAAUACCUGGCGGCGACCGGCAAACGGGUGCGGAACACGUACGCAACCUUCCCAAAACUGGGGAAUAGCCCUCCGAAAGGAGGAUUAAUACCCCGUAACACAAUUGAGAGGCAUCUCUUGAUUGUUAUAGCUCCGGCGGUUUUGGAUGGGCGUGCGGCUGAUUAGGUAGUUGGCGGGGUAACGGCCCACCAAGCCAUCGAUCAGUAACUGGUGUGAGAGCACGACCAGUCACACGGGCACUGAGACACGGGCCCGACUCCUACGGGAGGCAGCAGUAAGGAAUAUUGGUCAAUGGACGCAAGUCUGAACCAGCCAUGCCGCGUGAAGGAUGAAGGCCCUCUGGGUUGUAAACUUCUUUUAUCUGGGACGAAAAAAGGGGAUUCUUCCUCACUUGACGGUACCAGAGGAAUAAGCACCGGCUAACUCCGUGCCAGCAGCCGCGGUAAUACGGAGGGUGCAAGCGUUAUCCGGAUUCACUGGGUUUAAAGGGUGCGUAGGUGGGCAGGUAAGUCAGUGGUGAAAUCUUCGAGCUUAACUCGGAAACUGCCAUUGAUACUAUCUGUCUUGAAUAUCCUGGAGGUGAGCGGAAUAUGUCAUGUAGCGGUG
RNAcentral lists this ribosomal RNA (627 nucleotides) under uncultured Bacteroidota bacterium. RNAcentral describes it as "bacterial SSU rRNA". It matches the Rfam family "Bacterial small subunit ribosomal RNA", at positions 61 to 683 of the family's 1533-position model. Lineage: Bacteria; Pseudomonadati; Bacteroidota. The record is from RNAcentral.